This 30-nucleotide non-coding RNA is filed under the name Cricetulus griseus (Chinese hamster). The record is from RNAcentral. Lineage: Eukaryota; Metazoa; Chordata; Mammalia; Rodentia; Cricetidae.
AAAGUACUUUUUUGUCUGUAGUUAGUGUUG